UCNCGGAAAGUAAGGCACUUACUUGGCUGU
This 30-nucleotide non-coding RNA is filed under the name Mus musculus (house mouse). Lineage: Eukaryota; Metazoa; Chordata; Mammalia; Rodentia; Muridae. The record is from RNAcentral.